CCGACCUUAGCUCAGUUGGUAGAGCGGAGGACUGUAGUGGGCUGUUCCUUGCUGAAAUCCUUAGGUCGCUGGUUCGAAUCCGGCAGGUCGGA
Transfer RNA from Vigna angularis (adzuki bean), 92 nucleotides. It matches the Rfam family "tRNA". From Rfam's summary of the family: Transfer RNA (tRNA) molecules are approximately 80 nucleotides in length. Their secondary structure includes four short double-helical elements and three loops (D, anti-codon, and T loops). Further hydrogen bonds mediate the characteristic L-shaped molecular structure. tRNAs have two regions of fundamental functional importance: the anti-codon, which is responsible for specific mRNA codon recognition, and the 3' end, to which the tRNAs corresponding amino acid is attached (by aminoacyl-tRNA synthetases). tRNAs cope with the degeneracy of the genetic code in two manners: having more than one tRNA (with a specific anti-codon) for a particular amino acid; and 'wobble' base-pairing, i.e. permitting non-standard base-pairing at the 3rd anti-codon position. The record is from Rfam. Lineage: Eukaryota; Viridiplantae; Streptophyta; Magnoliopsida; Fabales; Fabaceae.